RNAcentral lists this ribosomal RNA (1467 nucleotides) under Triticum aestivum (bread wheat). RNAcentral's name for it is "partial small subunit ribosomal RNA". Lineage: Eukaryota; Viridiplantae; Streptophyta; Magnoliopsida; Poales; Poaceae. The record is from RNAcentral.
AUGGCGUUCAUCCAUCCACAAAGUAGCAGCAUGGCGGGGCCGCGGCGGCUUGCUGCCGUGCCGGAGUUGAGCUCCUCGGCCGCCUCCCCGCCGCGUGACGGCCUCUACCGCGACUUGAUUCGGACGGUCGCCGUGUCCGGAGCGCAGAGGAGAUCAACCAUCUUGGGUCAUAGCGGAUCCAGCUACUCCACUGCGUCGAGUUCCUGCCCGUCCAACAACUCCGGCCACUCCUCUGGUUCAGCGUCCGCCGUUGCGCUGGAGCGCUUGGGCAACCAAGAGCUCAGGAGGAUUGCUCACCGAAUGGUCAGCGACGGGUACGCCCACCGCAUGGUGGAAGCAUUCAUCCGCGCAUCUCCUGCACCAGAAUUCCAAUUCGGUGGUAUCCCGGACCAUGCUCUGACAAAUUGGUUCUCCGAGCUUGACGUUGACUGGGUUCUCCAAAUCGACGAUGAGCUAGGCUUACAGCGGCUGCUUCGAGACAAGCCGGCGACGACGCAAGACUUGGUCGACAAGUGGAUCCGGGCUCUUACAGUAAUUGCCGCCAGUAUCAUUGAGUUGGUAUGCGCCUUCUACAGGACGCCGGCGGUCACACUGUUUGGCAAAGCGAGCAUCACCAAAAUGCUCGAUGUCGUGGAUGUCAUCAUCACCGUUGUCGAAGCGGAGAAGCUACAGGUUGUGCUUGACAUGUUUACAUGUGUCUGUGGUGCGUCGCACAUGUUAAGCAUUUUCAACGAGAUAGGCGGCCUGUUCGAGAGACAAGCAAAGAGGCUAAGUGAGAUCACAGUAAGCACGAUGGAGGAGGUGAGGACACUCGUGGAGGAAGAUGACUCAUGGGCUAUUGAGAUCUCACGAGGAGGAGGCGAGGUUCACAAGAACACUCCGCUCAUCAUGGAUUGCGUCGUAUCCAUGAAAAAUGCACGGACUUCAAUGCAAAACUCUGCACCGAGCCACAACUCUGAAAACCUUUGCGGCGUGAUCGAUGGCACAAUCGAUUAUCUGAAGGAUCUGCUCUUCACAAAAUCGGAGUCAUGCUCGGAUCAAAGCCUCCGGUAUAUGUUCCUGCUCAACAAUUCCUAUUUCGUAGCUCAUGUGGUCUCUGAGUCAUCAGCAUCUCCUGCAUACCUAAAUCAAUUGCAUUACAUGGAUAGUUAUCUCGAUGUUUCUUGGGGGUAUGUACUCUCCUGCAUACCAAAAUCGAGAUUUCCUGGGCCGAUCCAUUGUUGGAUAAACACGUCUUCAUUGGUGAAAUUCGAGUCGGCAUUUCACAAAACGUACCAGACUCAGAAGUUGUGGAAGGUUCCGGACCCUCGGCUCAGAGAUGCGCUGCGGAGAGCUAUCAUUGAGAGAGUCAUUACAGGUUACCGCAACUACCUGGAGGAGCAUCUGGAGCAAGAGAAACACGUUGGCCGCGAAAGCAGUACGCCUGAAGUUUUGGAGGAGAUGUUGGGAGAGCUAUUUGAAGGAUGA